AGGGAAGUAAAGAAUGAGAAGACAAGAAAUGUAGGAAAUAACCAAGUUCAAAGCAAGAUGACUUUAUAUUUAUUCCUUUGGGGGAGUUCUGCAGAAGAUUUGGCAGAGAUGUUUCCAGGAAGUCUGACUGGAUGCAUUUGAAAGCAGUUUUGCUUGUGAGGUGGUUGCUGUUAGUAUCUUCAUUUUGAAGAUGAGAAAACGGAGCCUGAAGGACUUUAGUCUGUUUGAGAUUACACAGGUGCAUCAAAUUUUUCCAUCAAAUAGGAUUGGCCACCUUGGGCUGGACAAUCUACAUAGAUGAGGUGCCAAAGCAAUACUGCUAAUGGGAACUAGAGUGUACAGAAAAUGACUGAAGAAAUUUCAGAAAUAUUUCACUCUCCAAGUACUCAGGGAUUGAUUCCUCAGUUGCUGAUUUUCUUUGUGUACUCUUCAUUUCCCGCGUGCUCAAUCUUCCUUCAUUGUCCAUUGGCCAACAGCAAGUUUCCGAAACUUUAAACUAAUCAAUUCUGCACACGUUUAUUAAACACCUACGAAAUUCAGUACAUGGUACUAGAUAUUGGAAGUAAUGUUGUUGUUUGUCCUUUGUUUUCAAAGAGGACUGGUGACAUCAUCCCUGGGUAAUUUCUUGACUUGUACUUGAGUUGGAUUUCAGCAUGCAGAUUUCCACAAAGUCAUCAGCCUCACUCUCUGCCAGUCAUCCAAGUCUAACUACAAGACAAAAGUCAGAAAGAUUGGCUGGUGAUGGCCCUGAAUGCAGUGGAUGAUGUGGGUAUCUUCAGGCUUUGUCCAAGCUCUAAAAUUUUUCUCAUCUGCCCAUUCCACUGAGGGAAGCCUUCAUGUGCUUGGGCUUGCAAUCCUCCCUAAUUCACCGAUGGGUAGGAGGUCUUUUGGUUACCACCAACCUGGGUUAAGUUGUCUGCUGAGGUGCUUUUACUGGAGUAUGGCUGCUGUGCAUGCUGUAGCUUAUUGGAACCCCAAGUGAAAGUUUGUCGAAAGCUAGACAUCAAAGGUGGAUGAGCAGCCAUGAAAAGGACUCAUCAAGCCCUAAUACCAAAGAUGAUAGCUUUCUCUCAACACUUCAUACAGCCCAUACAGAAAGACUAGGUAAAAGAUAAAUUAUAUAAUUAGAAUAUAGAUCAAUAUAAUUCAAAUUAGACUGUUAAAAUGCCCAUGGAGAGGCAAAGUAGUGUAGGUGAUGGAGAAUUGGCCUUGGAAUCAGUUAAACCUGGAUUCAAGUCCCUGGUUUGACAUUUUUUAUCUAUGUGACUUUGGGUAAAUCAGUGAAACUUGCAGUGCCCCAGAAACUCUCUACAUUAUAAACUACAAAGAUGCUGAUCUGCACUAGUAGAUAUGUUUCUCCAUUACAAGAUUUGCAUGAAAAGAAAUCACUGAUUCUAACUAAAAAAAGGACAAAAUAAAAUCAUGUAUGUAUAAUACAGGAGUGCUAAGUGCUAUGACAUCAGAGACUGAAGAAAUUAAAUUUAUUUUUGAGAAUCAAAGAAGCUUUGAAAUUCAUUUUAAUCAAAUGGAGUAUUUGAGUACCUACAAAUUGCUUUAAAAUAAUCUAGGCUUUCAGAUAGUUUAGAUUAGACAUAGUUACUGCCUCUGCUUAUAGAACAGGAAGGGGAUAUUGCAAAGAUACAGAUUAUUAUUAUACAAUUAUAUACGAUUAUAUACAGAUAUUAUACAAUUUAAAAAAUCAGCAUAAAAGAGGGGCAAAAUCUAAGAGAGUAAAACUCAUAGUUGACUGAGGAAAUCACAGAACCUCAGAGUUGGACAGAAUAGGACUUCAAAGUCUUCUGAUCAGGAGUGUGGUGGUAAUUGCUUUUCAAUUUUUUUUUAAAGUUAAUGUGUAGUAAUGUAGUAAUGUUAGUCUAAACAAUCAACAAAACAAAUGAAGCUCAAGCUUAUAACAUUUGCUGAUAUUCAAGGUGUAAAUGUUCAUAUGGAGAUGUCAGAACCAGCUCUCUGAGAUGCCAUGAGCUUCACUUUAUCACAUUCCUUCUAUUCUAUCUCAAUGGGAGCAGGAAUCCUUUCUUCAAUAUCUCUAACAAGUAGAAAUACAUCUUGCGCAAGUAAGGGACACGUUGCCUAGAGUGUUGAACCUGGAGUCAGGAAGAUCUGAGUUCACCUCUGGCCUCAGACUCUUGCUAGCUGGAUAACUCCAGACUUAACCAAUUUGCCUCAGUUUCCUCAACUUUAAAAUGGGGAUGAUAAUAGUACAUAGCACAAAUUAGAUGGUUAACACAUACUUAUUUUCUUCCUUCUACCAUUUGUUUGUAAACUUCCAAUCAAGGAGAAUUCACUGCAACCCAAAGCAGCACCUUUUACAUUUGAGUAUUGGAUUCUUUAUAUCUUCCAUCCUUUGAUCCUGAUUCUACACUCUGGCACCAAGCAGAAGAAAUAUAUCCCCCUAUCCCUGUUAUAGUCCUUCAAAUAUUUGUAGCUGUUGUAUUCCUUACUCCUUUUCCCAACUUCUUUUAAGUUAAACAUCUCAAAUCUCUAUAAACUAGUUUUCAUUAUGACUUCAAGUUAAAGUUUUCACUGUCUUACUUAGAUUAUUCUGGUUGUUUUCCAACUUAGCAAAGUAUUUCCUAAAAUUUGACUCCCAGAACUAAAGAGGAUAUUUAAAAUGUGGUUUGAUCAGGGAAAAGUACAGUGUUACUCCUGUUAUAAUUGGGGAGGGAAAUGUUCAUUUCUUAAUAUGUUAUUUAUUAUUAAUUUGUAAUAUUCAUGUAAAGAAAAUGAAAUGAUGGAAGACAAUCAGAGGCUCCAGGUUACUGCAUCACUUUGUCAAUUCUCUUCUCCAAUCUUUGGUAACUGGUUUUUAUGGAGACCAGGGCUAAAUCAGGGGCAAAUGGCAGGUUGAGUAUUCACAGACCUUGAAAUCUUAAGGAAAUAUGAAAAAAGAUAGAAAUAGUUGUGAGGAAAAUUAGGUGGGUCAAUUAGAGUAGAAUGGAAGGAUGACUGGGUGGCAGAGAAGAAGAGACAGAAAAGUUUUACAAAUUAAAUUGUGGGAAUUUAGCUUGAUUUUUUUUGUUUUUACUUUUUCUAGUGAUGUUAAGCAUUCUUAGAGUAGCAAAGAGGGAAAUUAUUGUUUAGAAAAAGCCAUAAAUAGGAACAAAUUCAAUUGAAUAGGAAGAAAUAGUGUCUAAGGUGAAUUCAUGUUCAUUUAUGGUUGAGAUAAACUGAAGAUAAAAGUCAUGGGACCUCAGAUUAUUGAAGAGUGGGAAGGUUCUUGGUGCUUUCAAAGGGUUAGGGGUAGAGAUAAGAUUGGAAGAAAGUUAUUAAUUUGAUUAUGGAGAAAAGAAAAACUAGAAGUUCAUAAAUGAUAGUAACAAAGACUGGGACAAGCUCAUGUUGACAUGACUUGGGGAGAGGUAUUUGCUGAAUGAUAGUAUAGAAUAUCCAAAAAAGGGAAUGGAGGGACAAGGCAUCUACCAACUCUCUCUCAAGUUCUAAGUUCCAGGGAUUGUGUCAUAAGCCAACCCUGACUUGGGCUAGGUUAGUACUUCAUUUUCAAAGUUAGAAUAAAAGAAGCCAUUGGAUAAUUAAACAAUUAACAAAAGGAAAUUUCCUUGGCAAUAGCAUAGAAAGGAUAUACAGCAAGAAUACAAUACUAUUUCCUGAAGACUUAGCCCUUCAUACAGAAAUGUGUCUCCACACAGAAAUGCAGUUCAGUCUUUUCCCCUCUCUUUAAUCCCUUUGGGAUAUAGACUUAGUAGUGGUGAUGCUGGAUCAAAGGGUAUGAACAAUUUGAUGGUCCUUUGGACAUGAUUCCAGAUUGCUCUCCAGAAGAGUUACAUGAGUUUACAGUUCCUCCAACAAUGUAUUAGUAUCUUGAUUAUUUCAUAUCUCUUCCAACAUUUAUCAAUUCUCAUUUUUAUCAUGUUAGCCAGUCUGAUGGGUGUGAGGUAUACCUCAAAGUCAUUUUAAUUUGUUUUUCUCUAAUCAGUAGUGAUUUGGAGCAUUUUUUCAUGUGAAUAAAGAUAGUUUUAAUUUCUUCAUCUGAGAAUUGCCUGUUCAUAUUCUUGGACCAUUUGUCAAUUAGGAAGUGCUUUAUAGUCUUAGGUAUUUUACUCAGUUUUCUAUAUAUUUAAGAAAUUAAGACCUUGUCCGAGAUAUUUGCUUUAAUUUUUUUUUUCUUACCCCAGGUUGAUGUUAGAUUUCUAUACCUAACUAGGUAUGAAUGUUAUUCCCACUUUGUGCCAAUUCCAAUGAGAAUGGGGUCUAAGUAUUGCCUGCCAACCUCACCUCUCUGUCCUAAUAUUGCUUCACACUGUAUUGAAUCUUACAUGCCUUCUUAGGUGAGAUAAUUUACCCCACCUUUCUCUUCUUUUUAUCAUUUCCUAAGAUAGUCCUCCUUCUUUUUUCCUAGAUUUUUUCAAAUAUCAUCCCAUCAAAUUCAAAUUACUCUUUGCAAAGAUUGGAUUUAGAUAUCUCCUGAUUGUAACAAUGAAGAUACUCAGCUCUUUC
Monodelphis domestica (gray short-tailed opossum) is the source of this 4476-nucleotide long non-coding RNA. RefSeq lists it as uncharacterized. The record is from RefSeq and is a predicted model, not a curated record. NCBI's taxonomy places the organism in Eukaryota, Metazoa, Chordata, Mammalia, Didelphimorphia, Didelphidae.